This 350-nucleotide long non-coding RNA is filed under the name Phaseolus vulgaris (common bean). Its description in RNAcentral is "long non-coding RNA (PVUL_LNC002580)". The record is from RNAcentral. Lineage: Eukaryota; Viridiplantae; Streptophyta; Magnoliopsida; Fabales; Fabaceae.
UUUAUCUUUGUUGUUCUGUAUAAUAUUUUUGGCUCAACAUUUUAUUAAAACUCAUUUUUUCUCCCCCACAAUCUUACCCGUUCAGUUUUGUGCUGUUUUUUCAUUCGGUGAACAAGUGUAAGGAAAUUUGCAUCUCUAUUUAGCUUCAUGAAACUCUGGUGAUUUUUCAUUCGGUGAACAAGUGUAAGGAAAUUUGCAUCUCUAUUUAGCUUCAUGAAACUCUGGUGAUGCUCACACGAAAAUCACUGCUUAUAUGCAGGACUAUUUAUUCUGUUUUUGUCCUAACUGUUGAUUAAACUUGGCUACUAAGUUUGAAUGAGAUAUUCUUCUGCAAAAUUGUAGGUUUCUUU